UUUGCGAGGGGCCUCGGGGUGCCAAAAAUAAGCCGCGGGCAAAGCCGCGCCCAAAAAUAAGCGCCCGAAGGUCGUGGUGCCAAAACCCCCCAGCGGAAAAAUGGCCAAAAAACGGGUGGGCUAUAGCCUUGGUGGGGGGCGCGGGCGAAGUUCGUCCGCCGGACUCGGAAUGGGGCGAGACUUUGCGAGGGGCCUCGGGGUGCCAAAAAUAAGCCGCGGGCAAAGCCGCGCCCAAAAAUAAGCGCCCGAAGGUCGUGGUGCCAAAACCCCCCAGCGGAAAUGGCCAAAAACGGGUGGGCUAUAGCCUUGGUGGGGGGCGCGGGCGAAGUUCGUCCGCCGGACUCGGAAUGCGGCGAGACUUUGCGAGGGGCCUCGGGGUGCCAAAAAUAAGCCGCGGGCAAAGCCGCGCCCAAAAAUAAGCGCCCGAAGGUCGUGGUGCCAAAACCCACCAGCGGAAAAAUGGCCAAAAAACGGGUGGGCUAUAGCCUUGGUGGGGGGCGCGGGCGAAGUUCGUCCGCCGGACUCGGAUUGGGGCGAGACUUUGCGAGGGGCCUCGGGGUGCCAAAAAUAAGCCGCGGGCAAAGCCGCGCCCAAACAUAAGCGCCCGAAGGUCGUGGUGCCAAAACCCCCGAGCGGAAAAAUGGCCAAAAAACGGGUGGGCUAUAGCCUUGGUGGGGGGCGCGGGCGACGUUCGUCCGCCGGACUCGGAAUGCGGCGAGACUUUGCGAGGGGCCUCGGGGUGCCAAAAAUAAGCCGCGGGCAAAGCCGCGCCCAGAAAUAAGCGCCCGAAGGUCGUGGUGCCAAAACCCCCCAGCGGAAAAAUGGCCAAAAAACGGGUGGGCUAUAGCCUUGGUGGGGGGCGCGGGCGAAGUUCGUCCGCCGGACUCGGAAUGCGGCGAGACUUUGCGAGGGGCCUCGGGGUGCCAAAAAUAAGCCGCGGGCAAAGCCGCGCCCACAAAUAAGCGCCCGAAGGUCGUGGUGCCAAAACGCCCCAGCGGAAAAAUGGCCAAAAAACGGGUCGUGGUUCAAAAAUAUAAUCAAAACGUGAGAAAAACGCAAAAUUGUGGGUUGAGAAAGCCCACCAAGCUCCUUGGUGGCGAGCUUCCCUCGAGCAUGGGCAGCCUUUUACCACUUCUUCUAAGUUUUCAAAGUUCCGGUUUCUCCAUUUUCAUUUUUUUGAAGCCAAAACAUAGUUUCCCAUGUUCGCCAUCCCAUGUUCUGCAUCCGCGCAAAAAAUCUAGGCUUUCCAAACAAGUCCGACGCUUAUCAUCUCAGUCCAUCUCCCCAUGCUCUGUGUCGGUGCAAAAAAUCUAACCCAAAAAAACUCGAUUGCUUAUCCCCUACCCGUUGCCCUUUCCCGCAGUUCAUUAGGGGCUACCUGCGCGGGAAGUUGCCUUAAUAUUUGAAAAUAAGAUACAAAGAUUUAGCUGCAGCUUGAACCCUUUACAUGGUGGUCAAAAUCACAAAUAAAGUUUCAAACCCACCGUUGAGCCACCAUGAAUUCUUGUAACUAUUUGCACAAAUAUUAUUUAAAUCGAAAAGUAAAAUAUAAAUUAAUAAUAAAACAAAUAAUUAAUGAUUUCACAUCGUAAAUGGAUAUUUAAGUUGUUGUUUUCUGUGGUCGAAUCAAAAUUAAAACGUCUUAGGGUAAAAAAACCCCCGAGCGGAAAAAUGGCCAAAAAACGGGUGGGCUAUAGCCUUGGUGGGGGGCGCGGGCGACGUUCGUCCGCCGGACUCGGAAUGCGGCGGACUUUGCGAGGGGCCUCGGGGUGCCAAAAAUAAGCCGCGGGCAAAGCCGCGCCCAAACAUAAGCGCCCGAAGGUCGUGGUGCCAAAACCCCCGAGCGGAAAAAUGGCCAAAAAACGGGUGGGCUAUAGCCUUGGUGGGGGGCGCGGGCGACGUUCGUCCGCCGGACUCGGAAUGCGGCGAGACUUUGCGAGGGGCCUCGGGGUGCCAAAAAUAAGCCGCGGGCAAAGCCGCGCCCAGAAAUAAGCGCCCGAAGGACGUGGUGCCAAAACCCCCCAGCGGAAAAUGGCCAAAAAACGGGUGGGCUAUAGCCUUGGUGGGGGGCGCGGGCGAAGUUCGUCCGCCGGACUCGGAAUGCGGCGAGACUUUGCGAGGGGCCUCGGGGUGCCAAAAAUAAGCCGCGGGCAAAGCCGCGCCAAAAAAUAAGCGCCCGAAGGUCGUGGUGCCAAAACCCCCCAGCGGAAAAAUGGCCAAAAAACGGGUGGGCUAUAGCCUUGGUGGGGGGCGCGGGCGAAGUUCGUCCGCCGGAUUCGGAAUGCGGCGAGACUUUGCGAGGGGCCUCGGGGUGCCAAAAAUAAGCCGCGGGCAAAGCCGCGCCCAAAAAUAAGCGCCCGAAGGUCGUGGUGCCAAAACCCCCCAGCGGAAAAAUGGCCAAAAAACGGGUGGGCUAUAGCCUUGGUGGGGGGCGCGGGCGACGUUCGUCCGCCGGACUCGGAAUGCGGCGAGACUUUGCGAGGGGCCUCGGGGUGCCAAAAAUAAGCCGCGGGCAAAGCCGCGCCCAAAAAUAAGCGCCCGAAGGUCGUGGUGCCAAAACCCCCCAGCGGAAAAAUGGCCAAAAAACGGGUGGGCUAUAGCCUUGGUGGGGGGCGCGGGCGAAGUUCGUCCGCCGGACUCGGAAUGCGGCGAGACUUUGCGAGGGGCCUCCGGGUGCCAAAAAUAAGCCGCGGGCAAAGCAGCGCCCAAAAAUAAGUGCCCGAAGGUCGUGGUGCCAAAACCCCCCAGCGGAAAAAUGGACAAAAAACGGGUGGGCUAUAGCCUUGGUGGGGGGCGCGGGCGAAGUUCGUCCGCCGGACUCGGAAUGCGGCGAGACUUUGCGAGGGGCCUCGGGGUGCCAAAAAUAAGCCGCGGACAAAGCCGCGCCCAGAAAUAAGCGCCCGAAGGUCGUGGUGCCAAAACCCCCCAGCGGAAAAAUGGCCAAAAAACGGGUGGGCUAUAGCCUUGGUGGGGGGCGCGGGCGAAGUUCGUCCGCCGGACUCGGAAUGGGGCGAGACUUUGCGAGGGGCCUCGGGGUGCCAAAAAUAAGCCGCGGGCAAAGCCGCGCCCAAACAUAAGCGCCCGAAGGUCGUGGUGCCAAAACCCCCCAGCGGAAAAAAGGCCAAAAAACGGGUGGGCUAUAGCCUUGGUGGGGGGCGCGGGCGACGUUCGUCCGCCGGACUCGGAAUGCGGCGAGACUUUGCGAGGGGCCUCGGGGUGCCAAAAAUAAGCCGCGGACAAAGCCGCGCCCAGAAAUAAGCGCCCGAAGGUCGUGGUGCCAAAACCCCCCAGCGGAAAAAUGGCCAAAAAACGGGUGGGCUAUAGCCUUGGUGGGGGGCGCGGGCGAAGUUCGUCCGCCGGACUCGGAAUGGGGCGAGACUUUGCGAGGGGCCUCGGGGUGCCAAAAAUAAGCCGCGGGCAAAGCCGCGCCCAAACAUAAGCGCCCGAAGGUCGUGGUGCCAAAACCCCCCAGCGGAAAAAAGGCCAAAAAACGGGUGGGCUAUAGCCUUGGUGGGGGGCGCGGGCGACGUUCGUCCGCCGGACUCGGAAUGCGGCGAGACUUUGCGAGGGGCCUCGGGGUGCCAAAAAUAAGCCGCGGGCAAAGCCGCGCCCAGAAAUAAGCGCCCGAAGGUCGUGGUGCCAAAACCCCCCAGCGGAAAAAUGGCCAAAAAACGGGUGGGCUAUAGCCUUGGUGGGGGGCGCGGGCGAAGUUCGUCCGCCGGACUCGGAAUGGGGCGAGACUUUGCGAGGGGCCUCGGGGUGCCAAAAAUAAGCCGCGGGCAAAGCCGCGCCCAGAAAUAAGCGCCCGAAGGUCGUGGUGCCAAAACCCCCCAGCGGAAAAAUGGCCAAAAAACGGGUGGGCUAUAGCCUUGGUGGGGGGCGCGGGCGAAGUUCGUCCGCCGGACUCGGAAUGCGGCGAGACUUUGCGAGGGGCCUCGGGGUGCCAAAAAUAAGCCGCGGGCAAAGCCGCGCCCAGAAAUAAGCGCCCGAAGGUCGUGGUGCCAAAACCCCCCAGCGGAAAAAUGGCCAAAAAACGGGUGGGCUAUAGCCUUGGUGGGGGGCGCGGGCGAAGUUCGUCCGCCGGACUCGGAAUGGGGCGAGACUUUGCGAGGGGCCUCGGGGUGCCAAAAAUAAGCCGCGGGCAAAGCCGCGCCCAGAAAUAAGCGCCCGAAGGUCGUGGUGCCAAAACCCCCCAGCGGAAAAAUGGCCAAAAAACGGGUGGGCUAUAGCCUUGGUGGGGGGCGCGGGCGAAGUUCGUCCGCCGGACUCGGAAUGCGGCGAGACUUUGCGAGGGGCCUCGGGGUGCCAAAAAUAAGCCGCGGCCAAAGCCGCGCCCAGAAAUAAGCGCCCGAAGGUCGUGGUGCCAAAACCCCCCAGCGGAAAAAUGGCCAAAAAACGGGUGGGCUAUAGCCUUGGUGGGGGGCGCGGGCGACGUUCGUCCGCCGGACUCGGAAUGCGGCGAGACUUUGCGAGGGGCCUCGGGGUGCCAAAAAUAAGCCGCGGGCAAAGCCGCGCCCAAAAAUAAGCGCCCGAAGGUC
RNAcentral lists this long non-coding RNA (4538 nucleotides) under Citrus x clementina. RNAcentral's name for it is "Citrus clementina (C. clementina) long non-coding RNA (CCLE_LNC000650)". The record is from RNAcentral. Lineage: Eukaryota; Viridiplantae; Streptophyta; Magnoliopsida; Sapindales; Rutaceae.